GGGCGCGUAGCUCAGCGGGAGAGCGCUCGCUUCACACGCGAGAGGUCGGUGGUUCGAAACCACCCGUGCCCA
This 72-nucleotide transfer RNA is filed under the name Solirubrobacteraceae bacterium. RNAcentral describes it as "tRNA-Val". It matches the Rfam family "tRNA". From Rfam's summary of the family: Transfer RNA (tRNA) molecules are approximately 80 nucleotides in length. Lineage: Bacteria; Bacillati; Actinomycetota; Thermoleophilia; Solirubrobacterales; Solirubrobacteraceae. RNAcentral also lists the same sequence under 2 other names. The record is from RNAcentral.